RNAcentral lists this transfer RNA (216 nucleotides) under Pseudogymnoascus sp. VKM F-4518 (FW-2643). It matches the Rfam family "tRNA". Rfam says of the family: Transfer RNA (tRNA) molecules are approximately 80 nucleotides in length. Their secondary structure includes four short double-helical elements and three loops (D, anti-codon, and T loops). Lineage: Eukaryota; Fungi; Ascomycota; Leotiomycetes; Thelebolales; Thelebolaceae. The record is from Rfam by way of RNAcentral.
GGGGUGCUGGCGCAGUGGUAGCGCUUCUGAUUUCUGCUCCUACUUGAUUGGAUUUUUUCAAUUCAAGAGGUGGUUUACUGGGGGUCGGAUAAAUCUCCAACCACACACGUUCUACUCGCAAAGCGUCUUGUUUAACAUUGUCUGGCUUUAGACAAAAGUUCUCAAAGUAAACCAGGAAAAUUCAGGAGUUCAUCGGUUCGAAUCCGGUGCACCCCA